UACAGAGGUCUCAAGCGUUGUUCGGAUUCAUUGGGCGUAAAGGGUGCGUAGGCGGCGCGGUAAGUCGGGUGUGAAAUCUCGGAGCUUAACUCCGAAACUGCAUUCGAUACUGCCGUGCUUGAGGACUGGAGAGGAGACUGGAAUUUACGGUGUAGCAGUGAAAUGCGUAGAUAUCGUAAGGAAGACCAGUGGCGAAGGCGGAUCUCUGGACAGUUACUGACACUGAGGCACGAAGGCCAGGGGAGUAAACGGG
RNAcentral lists this ribosomal RNA (253 nucleotides) under uncultured bacterium. Its description in RNAcentral is "partial 16S ribosomal RNA". It matches the Rfam family "Bacterial small subunit ribosomal RNA", at positions 524 to 776 of the family's 1533-position model. The record is from RNAcentral.